Mauremys reevesii (Reeves's turtle) is the source of this 931-nucleotide long non-coding RNA. RefSeq lists it as uncharacterized. The transcript has 3 exons. The record is from RefSeq and is a predicted model, not a curated record. NCBI's taxonomy places the organism in Eukaryota, Metazoa, Chordata, Testudines, Geoemydidae.
AGCAUGGUAUUUUGGGCCUCAAUCCUGCAAUAGGAUCUGUGUGAGUGGACCCUGGUGCCUAUGCAUAGUCCCACUGAAGAAACUGGAUCUCCAAAGAAGUUCAAAGGGUCCACCUGAGCAGUAGUCCUUCAACUGAUAAGGAUUGAUGUUGACAUAUACUUCUGAAUGCUGUACGCAAAUGGAAAGUACAUCUAAACUAGCUGUUCAAGUGCUACUACUGACAAUGAUAAAUGCAUGAGACUACGUUGAGAUUACCAUCAGCUUCCAUUUAAAAAAGAAAGUUUCAAGCCUUCAUGUUUGCAGAGAAAAACUUGAAAACAGGAAGCAAGUGUGUUCCUAAAGACUCAAAAUCAGAAGGCAAACUAAUAAUUCACAAUUUAUUAUUUAAAAAUUGUUAUGCUGAUCUCAUGAUUUUGAGAACUGACUCAUGAUUAUUCAAUGCUUGAGGCUGUCAAUGCUGAUAAGCAAAAGGGAGUUUAUCCAUCUUUAAGCAUGUGUGGCUUUUUUUUUGUACAUUUGUGAUUGAAUUUCCUAUAAACGUCCAUGAAAAGCUCAAAUAAAACAACAGCAGGCCGGCCAACCAAUCCCUUCUUCCCCCCACAAAAUCCUCAAAACAAAAAAAACCCCAAACUCAUCAUAAUGUUUAAAAUAAUCACAUGAAUUUUUGAGCCAGUCUUGUGAAUUUUCAACUUGCAGGGCUGACAAGAUUGUUGUCUCUUAAUCAAAGCAGUAAACUGUCACCCUACUCCAACCUUAGUCUGGCAUCUGAGAAUCAAACUGGGUUCUUUCUAGCCCUCACAUCUCCAGUAAUUUGUAUUGUGCAUUUUUAAUUUAGUUAACAAUUCUGUUGCUGAAGCAUGAGCCAGAAAAAAUCUAGCCUCACUCUACCAGUGUUGUGUUGGACCUGCAGUGGUAACGAGUAAAAAGCAGA